RNAcentral lists this ribosomal RNA (482 nucleotides) under uncultured bacterium. RNAcentral's name for it is "partial 16S ribosomal RNA". It matches the Rfam family "Bacterial small subunit ribosomal RNA", at positions 30 to 507 of the family's 1533-position model. The record is from RNAcentral.
AUUGAACGCUGGCGGCAUGCUUUACACAUGCAAGUCGAACGGUAACAGGCCGCAAGGUGCUGACGAGUGGCGAACGGGUGAGUAAUGCAUCGGAACGUGCCCAGUCGUGGGGGAUAACUACUCGAAAGAGUAGCUAAUACCGCAUACGAUCUAUGGAUGAAAGCGGGGGACCGUAAGGCCUCGCGCGAUUGGAGCGGCCGAUGUCAGAUUAGGUAGUUGGUGGGGUAAAGGCUCACCAAGCCAACGAUCUGUAGCUGGUCUGAGAGGACAACCAGCCACACUGGGACCGAGACACGGCCCAGACUCCUACGGGAGGCAGCAGUGGGGAAUUUUGGACAAUGGGCGCAAGCCUGAUCCAGCAAUGCCGCGUGCAGGAAGAAGGCCUUCGGGUUGUAAACUGCUUUUGUACGGAACGAAACGGCUCUGGUUAAUACCCGGGGCUAAUGACGGUACCGUAAGAAUAAGCACCGGCUAACUACGUG